This 460-nucleotide ribosomal RNA is filed under the name uncultured bacterium. RNAcentral's name for it is "partial 16S ribosomal RNA". It matches the Rfam family "Bacterial small subunit ribosomal RNA", at positions 338 to 795 of the family's 1533-position model. The record is from RNAcentral.
CCUACGGGAGGCUGCAGUGAGGAAUAUUGGUCAAUGGCCGAGAGUCUGAACCAGCCAAGUCGCGUGAGGGAAGACGGCCCUAUGGGUUGUAAACCUCUUUUGUCUGGGAGCAAAGCGAGUCACGUGUGACUUAUUGAGAGUACCCGAAGAAAAAGCAUCGGCUAACUCCGUGCCAGCAGCCGCGGUAAUACGGAGGAUCCGAGCGUUAUCCGGAUUUAUUGGGUUUAAAGGGUGCGUAGGCGGAGGUUCAAGUCAGCGGUUAAAUUUUGGGGUUCAACCCCGUUAUUGCAGUUGAGACGGGAUGCCUUGAGUGCAGGAGAGGUAGGCGGAAUGCGUGGUGUAGCGGUGAAAUGCAUAGAUAUCACGAAGAACUCCGAUUGCGAAGGCAGCAUACUGGCGUGCAACUGACGCUGAUGCACGAAAGUGUGGGUAUCGAACAGGAUUAGAUACCCGAGUAGUC